UUUAUGGAGAGUUUGAUCCUGGCUCAGGAUAAACGCUGGCGGCGUGCCUAAUACAUGCAAGUCGAGCGAACGGACGAGAAGCUUGCUUCUCUGAUGUUAGCGGCGGACGGGUGAGUAACACGUGGAUAACCUACCUAUAAGACUGGGAUAACUUCGGGAAACCGGAGCUAAUACCGGAU
This 179-nucleotide ribosomal RNA is filed under the name Staphylococcus aureus. RNAcentral's name for it is "partial 16S ribosomal RNA". It matches the Rfam family "Bacterial small subunit ribosomal RNA", at positions 1 to 174 of the family's 1533-position model. Lineage: Bacteria; Bacillati; Bacillota; Bacilli; Caryophanales; Staphylococcaceae. The record is from RNAcentral.